GGACAAACUAAUUCAGUUUACAUUCGGACGCGGCGGUGGCUAAAAGUGUUGAAAUUUGUUAAGCGGAUGAAAAGGAUUUUCCACAUACAAUAAACAGCGCAGCAUAGCAGAGCAGAAAGAACCCAACAAAGUGCUGAGUCUCAAUACGUUUGUAUGUGCGUUCGUGUUAAAUACAACAACAAGACAGCGUGCUAGUGUGCUAGUGGUAGUGUGCGGCAAUACGAACUAAACUAAAUACGACGCACUGCCAAGAGAAACAGUGAAAAUUCAAUAAAAUUUGAAAUUCUUACGGUGUGCGCACAUAAUUUGGGCGCUUCAAAGGAAACGGAUAUUGCAAACGUAAAUUACCCGGGUCAUUAAGGCACUUGUCAGUGGAGAACGUCAAGGCAAUAAGAAAAAUCCACCACGAGAAGAGAAAUACUUAAAAAAUAACAUAACAACAAAGGAAAGAAAGUAAAAAAGAAAAACAAAACCAAAAAACAAAAAACUUGUGUGUGCAAUUGUUUCGCUUAUUCGUUGUUGUUGUAAAGCGUUGAAAAAAUGAGGUGUUUACUUUUGAUCGCAACCAUUUGUCUGGUGUUGAUGUCAUCCGGUCUGAGCGGCGCUAAUGCCAAGAAGAAGAAAUACGUAGGCGAAAAUGGUGGCGAUUUCGAGUUUAUCGAUGAGGUAA
This is a long non-coding RNA of Anastrepha ludens (Mexican fruit fly), 670 nucleotides long. RefSeq lists it as uncharacterized. NCBI's taxonomy places the organism in Eukaryota, Metazoa, Arthropoda, Insecta, Diptera, Tephritidae. The record is from RefSeq and is a predicted model, not a curated record. The transcript is spliced from 2 exons.